Molecule: ribosomal RNA, 419 nt
Filed under: uncultured eukaryote
Lineage: Eukaryota
Description: bacterial SSU rRNA
Rfam family: Eukaryotic small subunit ribosomal RNA
Source: RNAcentral
CAAUAGCGUAUAUUAAAGUUGUUGCGGUUAAAAGCUCGUAGUUGGAUUUCUGCAUGGAAGGAGCUGUCCGCCCUCCGGGUGAGUUACGGCCACCUUGUGUGCAUCUUCCUGAGGAGACGUUCUUCACUUAAUUGUGAGGGCGUAAGACUCAGGACUUUUACUUUGAGGAAAUGAGAGUGUUUCAAGCAGGCAAAUGCCUUGAAUACGUUAGCAUGGAAUAAUAGUAUCGGACCAUUGUCCAGCUGUUGGUGUCUGGGCGAAGGUAAAGGUGAAUAGGGAUUGUUGGGGGCAUUCGUAUUUAACUGUCAGAGGUGAAAUUCUUGGAUUUGUUGAAGACGGACUACUGCGAAAGCAUCUGCCAAAGAUGUUCUCAUUGAUCAAGAACGAAAGUUAGGUGAUCGAAGACGAUCAGAUACCAU